UACGUGGGACCCAAGCGUUAUCCGGAAUUACUGGGCGUAAAGAGUUGCGUAGGUGGCAAUGUAAGUGAAUAGUGAAAUCCUGGGGCUCAACCCCUUCAACAUUAUCCAAACUGCAUAGCUUGAGUAUGGGAGAGGUAGAUGGAAUUUCUAGUGUAGGAGUGAAAUCCGUAGAUAUUAGAAGGAACACCGAUGGCGUAAGCAGUCUACUGGCCCAUUACUGACACUAAGGCACGAAAGCGUGGGGAGCGAACGGG
This 254-nucleotide ribosomal RNA is filed under the name uncultured bacterium. RNAcentral describes it as "partial 16S ribosomal RNA". It matches the Rfam family "Bacterial small subunit ribosomal RNA", at positions 524 to 776 of the family's 1533-position model. The record is from RNAcentral.